This 716-nucleotide long non-coding RNA is filed under the name Musa acuminata (dwarf banana). RNAcentral's name for it is "long non-coding RNA (MACU_LNC001209)". Lineage: Eukaryota; Viridiplantae; Streptophyta; Magnoliopsida; Zingiberales; Musaceae. The record is from RNAcentral.
CAUCCCAUCAAAGAUCGCACCUUUCCCUUGCUCAAAGCACCAGAGCGCACAAAAACCCAACAAACCCUAUCCCACGGUGUCGAAGUGGGAAAUGGAAAGGUACUCCUUACACCUUUAAUCACUCUGCCUCCAUCGAAGACAGACCUUUUGCCAUUGGAAGCUUUGCUGCAAACGUGAGCUUUCUCCAAUUUGGAUUUCGCUUCUCCCUGUCUUGUUCUGCUCAGUGACCUCUCCUUGUUACUCUCGCAGGCUUAUAUCCUGCCGGUAGAGGAGGAUAGAGAGAGAAGACAUGAAGGCACAAAGACGAUGGAAAAGAGAGCUAUAUGAGAGAGAGAGAGAGAGAAGAAGCGUGUCGAGUCAUUAACCACCGCCCCGAACUAUAUAGAGCUGAGAAGGAAGCAAAAGGAAAGCAGAGCACAUUCCAAUCCACCGUUUCUUUAUUCCAUGAGAUGGUUCCCUUUUAACAGUUCUUUUACUUGUUUAUGGGACUGUUUAACUUUGGGUUUGUGGUUGCAUUGUGGGAUACUAAUCACAGCUUUGGGCUCUCACCCUAAUAUGCGAUUUGUAUAUUAAACAUGCGAUUUGUAUUGAGUAAAACUAGUAUUCAUCAAUUAAACACAGGUUGAGUCUCACAAUAUCAAUGCAGAACACAAAGCAAUCACGAAAUAACUUAAAUAUCGGAGGGGAAAAUAUUAUCAUUUUAUAUACUAAUUUUU